CAAUUCGGGCCCGGCCGAGGCACAAUUGUAGCAGUAGCAGUCGCCUGAAAGGACGAAAGAAACACGAUCAGGUGAAAACCGCGACCCGGUUCAUCGUGACGGAUUGUCGUUUAUCAGAUUCGAAGCAGUCAGUUGUUCCUUCAAGAACCUGGUCGAAAGAUGUCAAAAUUCAUGACGUCGAGUUGGGGAACGAUGCAGAAAAGAUUGAGAAACACUGACUCCUCAGACACCUAAAAGUUCGCGGCGUUUUGCUGCACGUGUUCGUAGUUUCGAUGUUCGCGGAACCACGGAGCCGAACGUGUAUCUUCCGAAUUUUUUAUCCCAAGUUUCCCUUUCCACUGUACGCGCCGCUUGUGUCUCUCCUCGGAUAUUAUUCAUCGCGAUUCCGUUACUCAGGCACGGUUGCGUCACUGUCGAGAUACCCGACUCCUUGGGUUAAACAAGCGUAACGCGAAAUGGAAAUGAAAAAGAACAGAACGGCGAACUGUAUCACGUGUCACGUACGCCGCACGUGCGGAUUUUUCAUCUGGGAACUGGUCCAGAAUCGAGGCGAGUUGUCGAUCCGUUCCAGGCGACGCGUAGCUAGAACGCAAGAUUUUCUUCGUUCCUAACGGUAUUCUAAUUCUUUGU
Molecule: long non-coding RNA, 630 nt
Organism: Colletes gigas
Lineage: Eukaryota; Metazoa; Arthropoda; Insecta; Hymenoptera; Colletidae
Exons: 3
Source: RefSeq, a predicted model, not a curated record